GCGCCGUUAGCUCAACUGGCAGAGCAGGGGCCUCUUAAGCCCAAGGUUGGGGGUUCGAUUCCCUCACGGCGCA
Molecule: transfer RNA, 73 nt
Filed under: Candidatus Portnoyibacteriota bacterium
Lineage: Bacteria; Candidatus Portnoyibacteriota
Description: Candidatus Portnoybacteria bacterium tRNA-Lys
Rfam family: tRNA
About the family: Transfer RNA (tRNA) molecules are approximately 80 nucleotides in length. Their secondary structure includes four short double-helical elements and three loops (D, anti-codon, and T loops).
Source: RNAcentral